UACGUAGGGUGCAAGCGUUGUCCGGAAUCAUUGGGCGUAAAGCGCGCGUAGGCGGCCCUGUAAGUCCGUUGUGAAAGUCAAAGGCUCAACCUUUGAAAGCCGAUGGAUACUGCAGGGCUAGAGUCCGGAAGAGGCGAGUGGAAUUCCUGGUGUAGCGGUGGAAUGCGCAGAUAUCAGGAGGAACACCGGUGGCGAAGGCGGGUCUCUGGGCAGUAACUGACGCUGAGGAGCGAAAGCGUGGGGAGCGAACAGG
RNAcentral lists this ribosomal RNA (253 nucleotides) under uncultured bacterium. RNAcentral describes it as "partial 16S ribosomal RNA". It matches the Rfam family "Bacterial small subunit ribosomal RNA", at positions 524 to 776 of the family's 1533-position model. The record is from RNAcentral.